RNAcentral lists this long non-coding RNA (299 nucleotides) under Cottoperca gobio. Its description in RNAcentral is "lncRNA (ENSCGOG00000000312.1)". The record is from RNAcentral. Lineage: Eukaryota; Metazoa; Chordata; Actinopteri; Perciformes; Bovichtidae.
CGGGCAUAUUGCAGUGGAUCAUGUGGAGCUGGACAUCAAGGAGAUGUUGGAGCUGGGAAGAGGCAGCAAUCACUCGCAGGAGCAACAAUAACGUUAUCGAGGAGGAGGUUACCAGAACGGGGAGCAGUGCCUCAAACCACUACCCAAUGUCAGCGGAAAGUUUCUCAGAUGACAGUGAGGAGUGGACCGGUGACGAUGACGAACCUAUCUCUCCUCCCCCUGACACUGCAGAUCCACUGGCUUCCAAUAGGCCACACCAGGACACUCUCAGUGCCAUAUAUAGUAAACAAAGACCUUAG